UCCGAUUUGUACAGACUUGAAUGAGAGUCACUGAGACAGGAUUCUCCAACCAAACCAUUUAUUUUCUCCGUCAUCCUUUUCGAAACUGUCAAACAAAAGUUCGCACUUACUCUAAAGAUCAUGCGCUUCAUAAUGGCUGAGUGAAAAUCGUAAACGCUGAAUCGAGUUUCCUGUGUCGUUUCUUUUCUUUUCACUUUUUUUUUGGUCCGAGGUCUUAUUUUAACAAAGCAAAGUGAACUUGAUCGGGCAUCCUCUGUGACACUGUGUGCUCAUGACCUUGCCAUGACCGCUCUGCCUGUGUGACCUCAGGAUGACCUUCAUGAGGAGAAGCAUGGCAGGACAGAUGAGUUUUCUGUGAAUAGGAAUUGGAGCACUGCGGCGCAGAAGCCACCCAGACGCCGUAGACCUCAUUCUUCCUGCUCACCCACUCCAUCACACAACCACACACAGUAUCAGCACACACCUGCACAUGUCAUACAUUUAAAAAAGGUUCACUAUAUGACAGUACUGCUGUGCUGUUGGUCAUAAUGCCAGAUUCAUAUCAUAAGGGAGAAGAUAUAAUUACCACUGGGAACCAACUGGAAAAUGUUUCACAUUGACUUCUAAAACGUAGUCAGAAAUUAGUUGGCUUUGUAACAGGCUUGAUUUUUUUUGAUCCUGGCUGCAAAUUAAAUGCAAACGGUUCUUAAGAAUUACACCAUCUCAGUAAUUUUAAUAUUAAUAAUAUUAAAACAAUGUUAUUUUCUCAGAGACCCACUUUCAACAGACCAAAGCGUUUCUUCAUUAUAUGCCGCAUUAGCCACUGUUGUGAUCUACUUUCAUACAUCAGUGCCCCAUGACAUUAACAGGGGUGUCCUACAUUUCUGCUAUUACAUGCUGUGGAAAUCCAAAUAUACAUGGACUGCUGGUAAUUUGAAAGCAUGGUUAGUGCAUGCGUGGUGCACAACAUGAGAGAAAAAUAAAGCUUUAAAUACUAGAUCCCUAGAGUUAGCAGGUCAGGUGGUUCUUUUAUGCUGUUCUCCUGGAGGGAAGGGUCACUUCAAAUCAGCUCUUCUGAUUGAUCGCCUUUAUUCUACUAUGAAACAUUUCUAUCCUAAUGGGAAUGGUUGACUCUACCCGUAGUGCAUGAGGAUUCACCAAAUAGUUUGAGGAUAAUUAAAUGGUGUAAAUCAUAUGAUAUGACAUUCACAAUCACCAGCUCUCAAUCCAGUUGAACGCUUUUGGGAGAUUUUGGACUGACAUGUGAGACAGCGCUCUCUGCCAGCGUCGUCAAAACACCAUCUGAGAGAACAUCGUUUGGGCGAAUAAUGUCUAUCUCUCAAGUAAAGUUCCAGAGACUUCCGGAGAAUCAGUGCCAAGGUGCACUGAAGCAGUUCUAGUGGCUUGUGAUGGAUUAACAUCCUACUAAGACCCUUUAUUUUGUUUCUUUCUUGAAUUAGUCACCUACCUGUGCAGCACAUGUUGAUGAAAAGAUAAAAAGGUACUGUACAACCAGCAUUUUUCUAUGCAAGGGAAAUAAAGAUGCAUAAACAGGUUGAAUUGGGAAUACUGUGCAUUUUCAUAUGCUCCCCAAUUCACUGUUCUGAUUGCAGCAUAAGGCAAGGUGCGCACCAGCACUGCUUCCGUCUCUAUUGCUCUUCAGUUUAAUCAGUCCGCAUGGUAUCAGCAGCCCAGCAGGAUUUUAUCUUCAUUUUUACAAGUUUCUGUAAUUCCCUUUUUAUGUUGUUCUCUCAUUUUUAUUGUGUCUUUUGAGUUCUGUAUAAAUUUAUUGUCAGAUUGAACACACUGUUUAAAUCGCUACCAUCUGUAGAUACUUAGUUUUUUUACAUUCUAAUCAUGCAAAGAUCACUGAAUUAAAAAAAGGCUCUAGAAAAGGUAAUGUGUAAUAAAAAUAUAACAGUGUUUGCUUUGUUUCAGUUAAAAAAAAGCCAUUAGGGCUCUCAGUUUUAGUUGGAGUGCACGUUGAGGUUUUGCCUCAGCCACUAGCAAGGUCGCUGAUUGACUUGAGUCUCAAUUAGGGACAAUGCAUUUAGUCCCCUGAGUGCUCUUAUGUAAAUCACUAGCUCAGAUGCUGACAGCAGUGCCCACGCGCACACAGAUCACACGACACAUGCAGUUUAAUUAGGCCUAGGUGCGCAUGCACAGAGCUCACUGACAGAUGUGCGAGUGUGUGUGGGGGUGGGUGGGUUCGCUAAUCUUAUUGUGUCCUACUAUGAACCCAUUAAUAGCAUUUCUGGAUGUCCAGGUAUGCAUGAAAUAAACAUAUAUUUGUCUGUGUGUAUGUGUGAGGGGAAGAAGGCUUGCAUCACAAAAUGGCUGAACCUGUUUUCCACAAUAGGGUCUGUGUACUUAUUAUUAUCAUAAUAUAAAUGAAUCAUGAAUUCUGAAGGCUGCUCCAGGUCAUUCUUCAUCAGACACUCAGUAUGCAAUCUUUAACAAUUUCCAAAGUUCUGGUGGCCAUUAUAGUUAAUGUGGAUCUCGUUCCCCGUAUCUCAGUUUGAUUAAUACUCCUGCUAUGUUCAGAAAAACCACAAGAGAAGAGAAGAAACCAGAAGAGCUGACCCUAGAUCAGCAAGCGUGCCGAAAGAAUCUGCUAAUACAUAACAAUUAUACGUCAUAAAAAACCCACACAUUAAGCACACCAUUUCCAUGAUUAGUCUAUUUAUUUAUUUCAAAGGCACAAGAAACAGUAUGCAACAAAAGAAGGAUGCAGAUUUUCUGCCGGAAAAAAAUAAUAACUGUUUUGAUUAAUAUCACAAUCAAGGUAAUAAAGUGGUAUCAGGAGUAAUUGUGGACGUGGCAGAAAACACAAAUAAUUGUGAUUCAUCAGAGCAAUCUCAGAAUACACAUCUGGAUUUGUGGAAAAUGGUUAUCAUCAUUGAAACUCAUAUGUUAAAUGUCAGUAAUUUGUUAGGACAAGUUUUAGUAGUACAGCUGUUUGACUCGCAUAUGUAGUCAAUAUUAAAUGACAGGCAGAUUCUGUCUUAAUGGUAUACUGUGGAACACACACACACAGACACACACACACACACAAAACCAGCUAACAAGCAUGCUAUUUUCGUGCUUUUUAAUGAUCAGGGAACCUUCAAGCCUGCCAAUUAAAUAAGCCAAUAAGAGGCUAUUAAAUAAUACAUGGCUGUUAUUUAGUGUCACAAUUAAAAAAUGCACAUCACUGUAAACUCAAACAGCAGAAACAACAGACCUUUCAUUUAGAUGGGAACGAUAAUGCUCUGGGUCCUAAAGCUGCCCUUACAUCUGAGCACCAGUGGUGACCAGACAUAUGCCCGUUUAAAACGCUGUAAAGCAGAGAUCCCUUUUUAAUGGGCCGUGCCAAGCCCAUAGGACAGACGCACAGGGAAAAGAGAGAGAUGAUCCAUCUUCGCCCCUCUUUUUUUAUAGGGACCAAUAAAGGUGUCUGUCAUAAAUUGUUUGGAGAUCCCCCACUCUUGAAAAGCUCCACAAUAAUGAAGGAGCACUGGACAAGCUGAAUAAAUCUCGUCCACAUACACAGGCUGGCAUUGAUAGAAAUGCACGCAAACAGGCUCAAUGUUCACAAAUUCAAUGAUGUGGCAGAUUGGAAAUAUGAACACACAUGCUUGGCCACUCAUUUUAUUUUGGCAUGGAUUAGCAGGCCUGGUCUGUCCACAGAUAAAAGACUUUUCAACACCUCACAUCUUUCAGACAUACACAUCAGCACUGGAGGAGACAUUUGUAAAUGUACACAACUGCUUACUGUGUUUCAACAGCCAGAAUCUGGUGUGGGUAUUUAUGGAUGAUGCUAUAAUAUAAACUGCCUUACUGCAAGGGUAACUUCCACAACACACACCAAUGUACGUAGAUGCAUUUCUAUGGUGGGUGGCUUUUUGUGUGGUUAUGUUCAUUGUUUUGUCUGCGAUUA
Molecule: long non-coding RNA, 3898 nt
Organism: Hemibagrus wyckioides
Lineage: Eukaryota; Metazoa; Chordata; Actinopteri; Siluriformes; Bagridae
Exons: 3
Source: RefSeq, a predicted model, not a curated record